This 301-nucleotide ribosomal RNA is filed under the name uncultured bacterium. RNAcentral's name for it is "partial 16S ribosomal RNA". It matches the Rfam family "Bacterial small subunit ribosomal RNA", at positions 509 to 807 of the family's 1533-position model. The record is from RNAcentral.
CAGCCGCCGCGGGAAUACGAAGGGUGCAAGCGUUAAUCGGAAUUACUGGGCGUAAAGCGUGCGUAGACGGUUUGUUAAGUCUGUUGUGAAAUCCCCGGGCUCAACCUGGGAAUGGCAAUGGAUACUGGCAAGCUAGAGUGUGUCAGAGGAUGGUGGAAUUCCCGGUGUAGCGGUGAAAUGCGUAGAGAUCGGGAGGAACAUCAGUGGCGAAGGCGGCCAUCUGGGACAACACUGACGCUGAGGCACGAAAGCGUGGGGAGCAAACAGGAUUAGAUACCCCUGUAGUCCCUGUCUCUUAUAC